RNAcentral lists this long non-coding RNA (1049 nucleotides) under Malus domestica (apple). RNAcentral describes it as "long non-coding RNA (MDOM_LNC014883)". Lineage: Eukaryota; Viridiplantae; Streptophyta; Magnoliopsida; Rosales; Rosaceae. The record is from RNAcentral.
GCCACGUUCUUGAUUUCUCCGGGACAUUCCAGAAGCUUCCAUGAAGACAUGGCUUCAUGGGCUUAGAUAUAUGAUGUCUUGGGCAUUUUCUUUGUUUUUAACACAUGGCCCGUGACACUAGGCAGCUUUAGGCGGUUUUAGGAAGUUUUUUUUUUUUAUUAUUUCAUUUUACCUGUUUUUAGCUUAAAGGAUUGGAAAUUUUGUAAAAUUACUUUGGACUUUCAGUCGUACUACUUUAUUAUUUAUAUAUCCUUCUAUGUUGCAUUUAUAUUUCCAAAUACAAUUUUAUAAUAUAUAAAUAUAUUUUAUAUAUUUAAGUAAUUGUAUAAGUAAUCACUUAUUUAUGUUUUAUUAUUAUGUUAUAAGUUUAAUAUAAAAAAAACUGCCUAGGUUCCUGCCCUAAUUUUUUUUGAACAAAAAUAUUAUAUGCAUUAAGUGGGGGAGUAAGAUAAGCUUCACAAUGAGCUGACAAUAACAUGGUUUAAAUUCAUCUUUGACGAGAGUUGAAUCUAGAAUAUCUCACUUACAAGUGAAGGUGAAUACCACUAGACCGUAGUACUAAUGCUUUUUAGAGCAUUCAAUUUUAUUUUUGGGUGAAUGAGUAAUUAAAUCUUUCAAAAUGUGGGAAUCACAUACUCUAAACUUACAAGUAAUCUUUUUUCAGCCGUUAAAGAAAAUCAUGGAGAAUUUAUCACUAAUAGUCAAAAUAUAAUAAUUCAUAAAUGUCAAUUUUUGUUAAAUAUUUCAAAUAUGACCUAAAAUUGAUGUCAAUUGACCAAAGUACCCUCAAAGUUAUAAACCAGCACCACAUCAGAUGUGGUUUUAUUUUCCUGUUCUUUCUUGCUUUCUUGUUCCGUUUAUUUUUUAGGGUUUUGAUUUUUCCAUAUCUCAUUCCGAGAAAGCAGAAAGAAAGAAAAGAGAUUUGAUACAACAAAUUGUCUAAUUCAAAUAUUAAUUGUCGAAAACUUACACCCGAGAUUAUGAUGAAAAUUUCACAAAACUAAUUUCUGUAUAGCCAUGUGUUUGGACCCAAAUUUACACCAUCGGCC